UCUGUGGAGAACUAUAUAAACUAAAUAAACUUUAUCCUUUGAGAUAAAUGAUUUAUCUAGGGUUCUUAGAAACAGAAA
This 78-nucleotide non-coding RNA is filed under the name unclassified sequences. The record is from RNAcentral.